Long non-coding RNA from Cotesia glomerata, 138 nucleotides. RefSeq lists it as uncharacterized. Lineage: Eukaryota; Metazoa; Arthropoda; Insecta; Hymenoptera; Braconidae. The record is from RefSeq and is a predicted model, not a curated record. The transcript is spliced from 2 exons.
CACGAUAAAGUUAAAGAGUACUUUGAUGUUGAUUUUUCGAAACUCAACAUUACAGGAACCUGCAGCCACUAUGCGACUGCCAAGAUUUACAGAUUAUGAAUAAGAAAACUUUGGCUCAAUUUAAAAAUAUCAUCAGUG